RNAcentral lists this ribosomal RNA (502 nucleotides) under uncultured bacterium. RNAcentral describes it as "partial 16S ribosomal RNA". It matches the Rfam family "Bacterial small subunit ribosomal RNA", at positions 30 to 523 of the family's 1533-position model. The record is from RNAcentral.
AUUGAACGCUGGCGGCAUGCCUUACACAUGCAAGUCGAACGGCAGCACGGGAGCUUGCUCCUGGUGGCGAGUGGCGAACGGGUGAGUAAUACAUCGGAACAUACCCAGUAGUGGGGGAUAACGCACCGAAAGGUGCGCUAAUACCGCAUACGACCUAAGGGUGAAAGCGGGGGACCGUAAGGCCUCGCGCUAUUGGAGCGGCCGAUGUCUGAUUAGCUAGUUGGCGGGGUAAAGGCCCACCAAGGCGACGAUCAGUAGCUGGUCUGAGAGGACGAUCAGCCACACUGGGACUGAGACACGGCCCAGACUCCUACGGGAGGCAGCAGUGGGGAAUUUUGGACAAUGGGGGCAACCCUGAUCCAGCAAUGCCGCGUGUGCGAAGAAGGCCUUCGGGUUGUAAAGCACUUUUGUCAGGGAAGAAAUCUUUUGGGCUAAUACCCCGGAAGUAUGACGGUACCUGAAGAAUAAGCACCGGCUAACUACGUGCCAGCCGCCGCAGUAA